UACGUAGGGGGCAAGCGUUGUCCGGAUUUACUGGGCGUAAAGAGCGCAUAGGCGGAACGUUAAGCGGGGCCGGAAAGCCCCCGGCUCAACCGGGGAAGGGGCCGCGAACUGGCGUUCUUGAGGGGGGAGAGGAGAGCGGAAUUCCUGGUGUAGCGGUGAAAUGCGUAGAGAUCAGGAGGAACACCCAUGGCGAAGGCAGCUCUCUGGCCUCCACCUGACGCUGAGGCGCGAAAGCGUGGGGAGCGAACGGG
RNAcentral lists this ribosomal RNA (251 nucleotides) under uncultured bacterium. Its description in RNAcentral is "partial 16S ribosomal RNA". It matches the Rfam family "Bacterial small subunit ribosomal RNA", at positions 524 to 776 of the family's 1533-position model. The record is from RNAcentral.